RNAcentral lists this ribosomal RNA (253 nucleotides) under uncultured bacterium. RNAcentral's name for it is "partial 16S ribosomal RNA". It matches the Rfam family "Bacterial small subunit ribosomal RNA", at positions 524 to 776 of the family's 1533-position model. The record is from RNAcentral.
UACGGAGGGUGCAAGCGUUGUUCGGAAUUAUUGGGCGUAAAGCGCGUGCAGGCGGUUGCUUAAGUCUGAUGUGAAAGCCCUGGGCUCAACCCGGGAAGUGCAUUGGAAACUGGGCAACUUGAGUACGGGAGAGGAUAGUGGUAUUCCGAGUGUAGGGGUGAAAUCCGUAGAUAUUCGGAGGAACACCGGUGGCGAAGGCGGCUAUCUGGACCGAUACUGACGCUGAGACGCGAAAGCGUGGGGAGCAAACAGG